AGCGAACGCUGGCGGCAGGCUUAACACAUGCAAGUCGAGCGGCCACUUCGGUGUCAGCUGCCGACGGGUGAGUAACCCGUCGGAACGUACCCUUUUGUUCCGAAUAAUGCUGUUACACUAGCGAUAAUACCGGAUACGCCCUUCUUGGGCAAGGCUUGCUGCCCAAGUAUCAGCCGGCGUCUGAUUAGCUAGUUGGUGGGGUAAUGGCCUACCACGGCGUCGCUCAGUAGCUGGUCUGAGAGGAUGAUCAGCCACACUGGGAGUAGGAACCGGCAGAGAAUCCUGGGGGAGGGAGGAGAGGGGAAUAUUGGACAAUGGGGGCAGGGCUGAUGGAGCCAUGCGGGGUGAGUGAUGAAGGUGUGAGGGUUGUAAAGCUCUUUUGUCCGGGACGAUAAUGACGGUAACGGAAGAAUAAGCACCGGCUAACUUCGUG
This 433-nucleotide ribosomal RNA is filed under the name uncultured bacterium. RNAcentral's name for it is "partial 16S ribosomal RNA". It matches the Rfam family "Bacterial small subunit ribosomal RNA", at positions 29 to 507 of the family's 1533-position model. The record is from RNAcentral.